UCCCUGGUGGACUAGUGGUUAGGCCACAGUCCACCAGAACCAGACCGCUGUGGCCUGGGUUCAAUUCCCAGCCAGGCAA
This is a non-coding RNA of Pangasius djambal, 79 nucleotides long. The record is from the annotation of a GenBank genome assembly. Lineage: Eukaryota; Metazoa; Chordata; Actinopteri; Siluriformes; Pangasiidae.